RNAcentral lists this long non-coding RNA (15658 nucleotides) under Nicotiana benthamiana. RNAcentral describes it as "long non-coding RNA (NBEN_LNC027947)". The record is from RNAcentral. Lineage: Eukaryota; Viridiplantae; Streptophyta; Magnoliopsida; Solanales; Solanaceae.
GUGCUUUGCAGAAAAACCUACAAGCCAACACUAACAAACAAAACGAACAAAAAAUUCAUGCCCUAGAUUGCACUAGGAAAUUUUUGUGAAUUAUUGAAAACACAUUAAACUAUGAUUACUAUUACAAGAUAAAGAAUUGAAAAAGAUUUUUUUAAUAAUAGUGAAUGUUAUACCCUGUGUUAACAGGAAGGAAGCAACCAGGGGAUGUAGUUCCUUGCGUUGGAAAUAAAAUGAGGCUCGUGGCACUCUGAAAUACUACUAGGAGAUGUCGUACCCUAUGUAGAAAAUAACGCAACCAGGGGAUGUAGUACUAUGUGUUGGUAAUAAAAUGAGGCUCGUGGCACUUUGAAAUGUUACUAGGGGAUGCAGUACCCUAUGUAAAAAAUGAUGCAGCCAGGGGAUGUAGUACCCUGUGUUGGCAUUGAAAUAAGGCUCGUGGCACUUUGAAAUGCUACUAGGGGAUGUCGUACCCUAUGUAGAAAAUAAUGCAGCCAGGGGAUAUAGUACCCUGUGUUGGCAAUAAAAUGAGGCUCGUGGCACUUUGAAAUGCUGCUAUGGGAUGUCGUACCCUAUGUAGAAAAUAAUGCAGUCAGGGGAUAUAGUAUCCACCCUGUUGGCAAUUAAAUGGUGCUCGUGGCACUCUAAAAUGCUACUAAGGAAUGUCGUACCCUAUGUAGAAAAUAAUGCAGCCAGGGUAUGUAGUACCCUGUGCUGGCAAUAAAAUGAGGCUCGUGGCACUAUGAGAUGCUACUAGGGGAUGUCGUACCCUAUGUAGAAACUAUGGCAGCCAGAGGAUGUAGUACCCUGUGUUGGCAAUAAAAUGAGGCUCGUGGCACUAUGAGAUGCUACUAGGGGAUGCCGUACCAGAGGUAGAAAAUAAUACAGUCAGGGGAUGUAAUACCCCGUGUUGGCAAUAAAAUGAGGCUCGUGGCCCUCUAAAACGCUACUAGGGGAUGUCGUACCUUAUGUAGAAAAUAAUGCAACCAAGGGAUGUAGUACCCUGUGUUGAAGAUAGGGUGUUGAUCCCUUAUAAUGAAACUAAAAUAACAUGCUUACAUGCAUAUUGGAAGGAAAUCAUGGAUCUGAGAACUAAACUUGGUGGUCUUCCUCUUUCCACGAACUGUUUCACUAAACGAAUUUGUUCCUGUUCUAAACCAAGAAAGAUUCAUUAGUUUUUAAAAAUGGUGGUCAGUUUUUGGCCUUGACAUCUUGGGCGACUUGACCUUGCAAUUACGAACUGUUUCACUAAACGAAUUUGUUCAUGUUCUAAACAAAAAAAGAUUCGUUAGUUUUAAAAAAUGGUGGUCAGUUUGUGUCCUUGACUUCUUGGGCAACUUUACCUUGCGUCCAUUGCACUUGUUAGGACCCUAUCGAUGAUUGUAAAAAUUGCCGGGAGAUUCUGACUUUAUUUUCUGAAGAUCUUUUUUUUCAACAUCAACACCUGACUAUGAUUCUGACUUUAUUUUCUCAAGAUUUUUUUGUUUCAACAUCAACACCUGACUAUUUUGCUCCUAUCACCAUUUGUGUCUAUGGUGCAAACAACUUUGUUCCCAAAACAACUUUUGAUGAGUAACUUUUGUUGCUCUUGAAACAUUGCUAAGUCCUUCAAACCUUUUGCUUGACAAGGAAUAUCAAAGUCGGAUUUAUGGCUUUGCCCAUACUGUUUAUGCCCAGAAAUUUUUGCUUCAUAUAGCGAGGAAACUGUAACCAAUUUUGUGGUUUUUUCUUUGCUUUGCUUUGAAAAAAUUAAACUGAAAGGUAUUCAAAAAUAAUAGUACGAAAGAAAACAAGUAGGUGAACUAAUAAUUGCAACUUAAUCAAUAAGUGUCCCUUUCAGGGGAAGAAUAAGAAAAGACUUAUCUGGAGGAACAUGCUAACUUAAAUAAACAUGACAUGCAAUUUGGACUGGAUGCUCGAUCCGUCUAAACCGUCUAAUUCUCAGAAUCUGUUGUAAACUUCUCUUUGAAACUGAGUUCUUUAACCAUGCUUGUGCCGGGAUAUAAGAAGAUCUAAAAUCAAUCAACGAUGCCCUUNNNNNNNNNNNNNNNNNNNNNNNNNNNNNNNNNNNNNNNNNNNNNNNNNNNNNNNNNNNNNNNNNNNNNNNNNNNNNNNNNNUGGGUUUUCACCAAUUGACCUCUCUCAUUUGCCUUUUUCUCAACUCACCAUCGCCUCAUAGUGCCCGUGAGGGUUUUCACCAAUAAGGCUCUCUCGUUUGUUUUUAUCAACUCGCCAUCGCCUUAUAGUGCCCUUGAGGGUUUUCACCGAUAAGACUCUCUCAUUUGUUUUUCUCUCUUUGCAAUGGUUGAAGCGCCACCUGUAGUGUACGGACUUUGCAUUCUCAAAACCUGAUUAGAAGGUCUUAAAAGGGAAAGGCAAAAUGAACUACUCAACUGAAUUACAACUUUUAGAACCAUUUGAUGGUACAUCCAUCGAAAAUAAAAUGAAAACAUGCCCUAAUUUCUUUGAAUAUUGGGAAAAUGUGGAUUUUUUGUUUGGUGUGACUGAACCUCAGAGAGAGGCUGCUUAGGUAUCCUUUCUGAAUCAAGUCGAACGUAGUUCAGGAUGGCAUGAACUUGUUUUGAUGAUGACUUUUUUUAAUCUUUUUUUUUAAAGUACAUUAGUUCCAAAAGAGGGUAAACACAAAGAAAUAUAAACAACGCUUCAAAGGGCUAACUAGGGUUGACCAGUGUUUGGGUAGCGAGAAUGAUACACUUUCGUCAUCCCAACCUGAGAGUGCUAAGUAUAAACCAAAUGCCCCAAUAGAAGCAUGUUAGACAUAGUAUCUCUUGACUACAUCUGCAUUGACGGAUAUGUCUGUCACAUUUCCUUCUAUAUCUUCCAAGUGUAUAGCUUCUUUCAACAAUACUUUGUUGACGAGGUAAGGACCUUGCCGAUUCGGGGCGAACUUUCCUUUUGCUUCUUCCAGGUGGGAAAAAAUGCGUUUCAAAACACGUUGUCCUACCUCAAAUUUUCUUGGGUGCACUUUUUUAUUGUAAGCGCGUGCCAUUCUUUAUUGGUAUAACUGACCAAAACAAACCAUCGCCAAAUGCUUUUCAUUAAUCAAACUCAACUGUUCCAAUCGUGACUUCACCCAUUCAGUGUCUUCAAUCCCAACUUCAAAAAUUAUCCAGAGAUAGGGAAUCUCAACUCUAGCAGGUAUGACCGCUUUAGUUCCAUAAACUACCAAGUAUGGUGUUGCACCAACUGAUGUACGGACAGUUGUCCGGUAUCCCAACAAAGCAAAAGGUAAUUUAUCGUGCCAUUGUCUAGACCCUUGGACCAUCUUCCUAAGAAAUACAUCUCUAUAAACGAACAAAACUUGAAUUAUGGUAUCCCUCGUCCUUUGUUCAGUAUGGAAUCUUAUUUUUGUUUCUCUGAUUUCUUCAUGACUUCCCAAGCUAAUUGCCUCAGUUUCAUUUAUGUUAGGCUUAGGCUUAUUCUCAAAUUGAUCCAAUUCUCUUUUUAUUUCCUUAAAGGCUUCAUCUUCAUCAUACUCAACUUCUUGAUUCAUUUUCGAGAUUAGACAGCUUUUUAAGAUCAGGGCAUGAAUUCCUCGUGCAUGUCAUGUUUUUUUUAAAGCCAGCAUUAACGAAACUGAAAAUGAUGAGAAAUUAACAAAAACUAGGGAAAGGAAAGACAAAAUUCUACUAUGAAACUGGAACUUCAUUUCAUUGAAUUUGAAAGGAUAUAAGGGUCAACGUCAAAGCAAAGCAAUUAAACUAAAGUAUAUGGAUUACAACCCUGUAAAUAAUCCAAAUAUAGAAAAAGCAACAAUACAGACUACCAAGACUCCUUCCUGAUGGGAAGAGGAGUUGCUUCCCAGUUGUUGAGCGAGGUAUCUGCGCCAAUCAGCUAAACACUUGCACGUCUAGGGCCCUCACCAACUUGAACCAUAUUGAUUCCAUAUAACAUCUCCUUGAGACCCUGGCAAGCUUCAUCAAUGUCAUCUUGAGUAGAAAGAUUUUGGACUNNNNNNNNNNNNNNNNNNNNNNNNNNNNNNNNNNNNNNNNNNNNNNNNNNNNNNNNNNNNNNNNNNNNNNNNNNNNNNNNNNNNNNNNNNNNNNNNGUGGCUUGACAAAAGAGUAGGCAAUGUGAGGGAUUGGUUUUGACAAGUUCCAACCAUUCUUUUUGCGAGCCUUGGCUCUGUUUAUGUCAUCUGAUGUUGGUUUAAAACCCAAGUCAAAGGUAUCUUUCUUCGAAAAAGGAGCAAUCGGGUUCACAGUUCCUUGCAGAAAUGAUCCUAAUCAUUUUCCUGGUUCAUAUCUGUUCCUCAACAUUAGUGAAACUACCAUCAUAGAUAUGGCUGAAAGAUGGGGAUGCAUAAUGGUUUUCCUUCUUCCACUUGGUCUACCCCAAUCACCUCAAAUGUUUGAUAUAUGAGGGAUUCACAUCCUUCCUUGGCCUCGAUACAUGGAAUGGAUGGGUCAUUAUAGGCGGACGAGUCAUCCUCCCCAUGAACAACAAUUUCUUGCCUGUCAUAUUCGAAUUUGACCAUAUGAUGUAGGGUGGAUGGUAUAGCUCUAGCCAUAUGGAUCCACGGCCUUCCCAAAAGAAAAUAAUAGGAGGUUUUCAUAUCCAACACCUGAAAGACAAUGUUAAAAUUAACCGGGCCAAUUGUCAUGGUGAGUUUAAUUUCCCCAAUAAUGUCUCUUUGUGAACCAUCCAAAGCCCUUAUGCUGACACUACUAGUUCGAAUUCUAUUAGUGUCAAUGUUCAGUUGUUGUAGAAUAGAAAGAGGGCAUACAUCUACACUUGAGCCUCCAUCAAUCAUGACCCUUUUUACGUAAUGCCCUUCACAUUUGACCAUAAGAUGCAAAGCUUUAUUGUGACCAGCCCCUUCCUUAGGCAAAUCAUCAUCGCUAAAAGAAAAUUUUGUUCACCUCAAAGAAUCUUUCAGCCAUCUUUUCUAGCUGAUUCACCGUUGUCUUUUAUGAGACAUAUGCCUCGUUAAAACUUUUGAUCAACACACGGCGAUGUUCUUUCGAGUGUAAAAGCAAAGAUAACAAAGAUAUAUGAGUAGGGGUUUUCCUUAGUUGAUCAAUGAUUGAGUAGUCUUGCAUGUUCAUCUUCUUAAGGAAUUCCUUCGCUUCUUUUUCUGAAACAUUUUCUUUCACAGGAAAGUGAUUUUCCUUGGCUUGCUUAGCUUUUCUCAACUCCUCUGGCGAAUAGCACUUUCCAGAGCGGGUCAAGCCUCCCAUUUCAUCUGUCUCUUCCACUAUCUCUUUUCCUUUGUAUGUCAUGACAAUCUUGUUAUAGUUCCAGCGAAUAGCUUUUGGGUUUGACACUGGAAGUUAUGCCACAGGUCGGAUCACAUCAGGCUCUGUUAUAUUUCUCAAAGCAUUAUUCGAAACAAUCUUUUGAAUACCCCCAAGGAUAUAAAGUUUUGGCCCACCCAAUUGAACCUCAAUCUUUUUUGUGCUUCCAGGGACAUAGAGAACCGUUUUUUCAGAACCCGCCAAGUUUGAACUAGAACUCGCACCUUUCACAAUCAGCGGUUCCAAUUGCUGCAGGCUUACUAUCACUUUUGGCUCCGGCCCUGUAGUUCCAACAAUCAUCUCUGUCUUGCCCCAUUUCUUGUAAUCACGAUCAUCACAAAUCAUCCCAAUAAAAUGUGUAUUAUCAUGAGCUGGGAGUGGAGUGUUUGUGAUAUUAUGAGUAUCUUCAUUGUUUGUCACCACAAUUGCCUUUGCUUCAAUCAAAUUUUCAAUGACUUUCUUUAAUGUCCAACAAUUUUUGGUGCUAUGACCUUGGGUGUUAGAAUGAUACUCACAUCUCGCAUUGGAGUUAAAACCUUUUGAAUUUGGAUUGACAUAACGUGGCAUUAUAGGUUCAAUCAAUUUCAGUUGCAUCAAUUUGAGAAAUAGGCUUAUAUAUGAUUCUACAAUCAGGGUGAACUCUUUCUUUGGCUCUGGUUCUCUCACAUAUUCCUUCUGGGACGAGGAUUAUAUGGUGCCUGGAAAUUUUUCCGGAGUUGAGGGGAGCCUUGUGGAAUCGAUGCUCGCCAUUGUUGGUGAUUUGGAGGCCUAGAAUAAGCCUAAGCAUUAUACAUUGGGCAUUGUUGCGAGGAAAAUGAGUAUCGGGGACCCUGAGGCGGAUGAUAAUGUUGAGGAGAAUUGUAUUGUCGUUGUUGGAAUUGCAUGUAUGAAGGAACUAUUCCUCUUUGAACUCCCCCGAAUCCAGAGGCCAUCAUGGAUCCUUCCUCCUUCUUUUUCCGAUUUCCGAUUUUCCCGACCUUAUGCCAUUCUCAAAUAUUUCCCCAAUCUUGAUCGCCUCGGCAAAAGGCUUACCAAUGGCGGCCAACAUAUAAUAGAGGUAAUCAGGAUCCUGAGCUUGGAGAAAGUAGUCAAUCAUUUUUUCCUCUUUCAUUGGCGGUUUGACCCUAGCAGCCUGCUCUCUCCACUUGAUUGCAUAUUCUCUGAAGCUUUCUGUUGAUUUCUUCUUUAUGUUGACAAGAGAGGAGCGGUCUUGCACUAUAUCAAUAUUGUACUGAAAUUGUUGGACAAAAUCUUGAGCCAUGUCAUUCCAAACGUNNNNNNNNNNNNNNNNNNNNNNNNNNNNNNNNNNNNNNNNNNNNNNNNNNNNNNNNNNNNNNNNNNNNNNNNNNNNNNNNNNNNNNNNNNNNNNNNNNNNNNNNNNNNNNNNNNNNNNNNNNNNNNNNNNNNNNNNNNNNNNNNNNNNNNNNNNNNNNNNNNNNNNNNNNNNNNNNNNNNNNNNNNNNNNNNNNNNNNNNNNNNNNNNNNNNNNNNNNNNNNNNNNNNNNNNNNNNNNNNNNNNNNNNGUGACCAUCAUACUUGUCAAACUUAGGGGUCUUGAAUCCAGGUGGAAAAUGAACAUGGGGAAACAUACAUAAAUCAUUGAACGAAACACUCUUGUCCCAAACCCUGUAUGUUUCUCAUGGUCUGUUCCAAACUCUUCACUUUUCUGGUCAUUUCCUCUUGCUCCAUGUUCUUGUCGGGAUUUUCGACCUCGACUGGGAACAUGUUCUGAGGAGUAUACUUGUAUGAAUAUGGAACCUUGAAAAUCAGUUCUGGAGAGUAAAGUUGGGUAUCAUGAGCAUUCAAUUGUGGAUCAUUGUUGAGCUUUUGAGCGAGAGAUGGUUAAGUAAUGCGUACAGUAUGUAGGUUAUUUCUGAAGGAUGAGACUGGAGGACGUAGGAUGGAGGUACUGGGAUAGUGGGAAGGUUAAUGCUCAGACUGAAUCCAGGUUGGUACAAUGGGUUACUUAUUAUGGAGAUAGGCACUUGAUUUGCAACAGACAUAUUAUGAAGUUUAUCCGAAGGCCCUAGGGGUAGUGAGGGCGGUGCAUGUCCAUUCACCCAGGUUUGCUACAUAUCUGCCAAUUGUUGUUUCAACACUCUUACUUCUUCAACCAUUCCCGAACCUUGUUCGACCAAUUGUCUAUGAACGUCAUCAUUAUCUUACUCAUUCUCACUGUUGUUUCCCAUUUUACUUUUUCCUUUUGACCUCGUGUUGUAAGGGUGAGUCUCCAGUUUAAGCCACAAACCAACCAGCUCCGUUUAACCUUAUCUAUUUAGAAAUAACAAACAACAAACGUGUUAGAGUUGGACAUUUUUCAGAUAUUAAUCACACACUAUAUGCCAUGCAGCUAAUACCAUUUUCAUUUCUAAAAUAAUUUUGGAAGGCUUCAUGCUUCAUCCCGACUUGUUGGUUUAUUUCUUUUUGAACUUACUGCUCUUUUAUUUUAUUUUUUAAUUUAAUUUUUUAUCAUUUUUUUCCAGAUUAGUUAUGGCUGUGAUCGCAUCCGAUGGGGAUUGCAUACGUAUUAUGACGUCGUAUGAAUCAGACCACCGCGUAGUUCAGGAGAAAUAAUAACAAUUCUAAUGAUUUCUUCUCUUUUUUUAAAAUAAAUAAAUAAAUAAGACAAACUAAAAUGUUUUUCAAUUAUAUUUUUUUAGAAUGGGAGAAAAGGAAAUAUAUACAAACGGACUCUACUGACUCUAAAGACAUAAACAUGUUUGGAAUAAAAUAAACUUUGAUAAUAAUAGUAAUAAAAAAAUCUCCAAAAAAAUAAAAAUAAAAACCAAACUGUGGGACUAAAAAAACUAAAUUAGUAAUAGUCGUUAAAAAAAUAAAAUUUCCAAAUAACUUUUUUUGUUUUUGUAAAGAAAACUAAUAAAAAAUAAAACUACCCUCCCAUUUCACAUUUUCUGACAUUGCUCUAAGACUCGGUAUAUUUCUGCAAUGAUCAGGGGUACAAUGCUGAAUGCCUGCCCACCAAUCCCUCCAUUAGGGUUUUGGUUACCAUGGUCAGCCUAGUAUGAAUUCUACUUUUCUUAAUUGAAAAUACAAUCAAACACAGGAAGCAAAAUAUGAAUAUGAAAACCCUACGAUGGACGUGUCCCAAGGAUGUGAUGGAAAACUCACCAGAGUUGGUACGAUAAGAUUUGUUGUGACUAUAUAUUUCAUACAAGUAGUCAAAAGGGAUGUAUGAAUCCUUCAUGCAUGUUAACUCUGGAUUCUUCUUCAAACCUAUCAUUUUAAGGAAGCCCCUACUUUUGCGAUUCUCAGGAAUUAGUAAGCCCGGAGUUUCCCAUACUAGACCAAUCAGUCCUCUUAUUUCCUCCAACAAAGGUGUCAUUUCAAUGCCCCCAAAGUGGAAUACAGCCCUUUCACAACCCCAAAACAAUAUGGCCACUUCUAUGAUCAUUUUUUUAGGUUGAGCCUCCAAAAGGGAUGGUAGAUUUCCCAGAUAUUUUCUGACGAUAUUUUGAUCACUAGAGUGUAAAUCUUUCAUCCAGCUUAGCAAUCUUGGGUGGAUAUUGGCGACUAUGAUGAAUCUGGGGACUUCGUGCCUCAUAUUUUUGCAAGGCAAAUAAGGUUAGACCCUUCCCCCACUGGACUCGACUAUUUAAUAUCAAUGAUUAGCAUGAAACAUCUAGUUCUCCAAAUAAAUGCACAUAACGUGACGAUGUCCGUUAGGUUUUACGGAAACCCAGUGGACUUUGAAUAAGGCUAUCUUAAAAGAUCAUUAUGUGGACAACAUAACUGAUCCGGAUAGGUUUGACCAUGAUGCAUGCACAAUUUGAACAAAGUAAGGUUUUCAUGGAGUUUAGAACGGUAUCCUUGAGCGGAUAACUCAAAGGGGAAGGCACAAAACUGUCGACUGCACCGCUGAUCGACUAGUUUUACCGUAAAUAUGCCUUUUCGAAUUUAGGGGGUAAUGAUAUUUAAAGAGCGCAACACUCAUUAUAAGAGUUGCUAUAGUAUUUAUUUCGGCACGAGUGGAGUACAAUGUUGAGCAUGAUCAUGCAAUAAUUAAAAACAAGUUGACAUGUAUUUGCACAUUAAGAAAGCGAUAAAUACAACAAUUUCAUAAUUUAAAGCAAUAGAGGAAAGAAAACAAGGAAGAAACGUAAGUUUUGCUUCUAAAGAAGAAAUUAAAUGCAUAAAGGAAUUAAACAAAUAAUUGCACAUAGGGGAGGGUUACCAGUUCACAAGAACAAUCUAAAAUGGUAAAAGGCAAAUAUAAAUCCCCAGCGGAGUCGCCAGGCUGUCGCACGCCUUUUUCCUCCGCGAAAAUUGGGUUUAUGAUAUUUGGUUGGGACAAGUCUUUCCUUUUGGGAAAGGGGUUUUGCAAUUUUUGAAGAGUCACUACCUAAUGAUUUUUAAGGUGCAUUAGGGCACCUAUGGGGUUCAACUACAACUAUGCUUGACAACCAGAGAUAGGGUAAAGGUUUGAGAUUAUCCCAGGGGGAAGGUGUUAGGAACCUCCCAGGAUCCACUAGUGUAGUUCCCUGCCAGAUAAUUUUUGUGAAUUUGUGCAAUUAACAAUUAAGCAAAUAAGGCUCAAGAAAUAGGGAAUUUUGAAUUUAAAGACAAGAGUGUUUGUUUAAAAGAAAGUAGAAAAUCAAGGCUUUGAAAAGAGUUACAAUCUAAGCAUGCUGAUGAAUGUGAAGAGGUCCAAAGUUUAUUUCUAAUGUAAAUCACAUCAAUGCAAUACCCGGUAAUCACUCCUCAAAAUAGGGGCUACAUGUGGUAUUACCACACCGGUCAUCAUAUCCACAGCUACCCUUCCCAUCCCGUGAAGGUACAGCACGGAUUGGUCUCGACCUUUAUGAUGUGCUAUUAUCUUCCCAUUCCUAUCAAUCUUGGAAGAAUUUAGGACUACUACUCCUAUAGAUGGGAGGAUUUUAGGCCGAAUCUUAGGUUUAAAGGUAAAAAGGCUAAGGCGACAUACAAAAACAUGUAGGACUACAUUUAAGGGGAAACAUAUAAGCAAUUACAAGUCUCGUAUAGACUUUCGCAACUAAUGCAUAUAAAUAGCACGAAUUAAACACAAGGUCCAAAUUUUAAAUCUUAAGACAUGGUGUUUGAAUUAAAACCAGACUCAUUAUAUAACUCAUAUAAGAAGUCUGAAUCAGGCAUGCCUCUUGGUUGUGGCAGUUGAUAACUAAAUAGAAGCGGUUCCAGUUUUAUUCAAGUAGUUACAUGAGGCUUGACUAGGCGUAGCAUUGAUAUCCCAUGAGCAUGAUAUCUAUAGUAAUGUAAUAAAGCAGUGGAGCAGUGAUUAGUUUUAAGAAGAUAAAUUGAGAUCCUAUAGAUAUUCUUUCUAAUGGUAUUAAGUCAAGAUAGUGUCUGAAAAACUCAUUAAAGAAGCGACAGAUUAAUGAACUAGUCCAAUUCCGAAUAAUAACGUGAACUAAACCGCUUCUCCAACAGGACUUGUUUUAAAUUCUAUAAGCAUGAUUUCAAUUAUAGCCAUUUAGAUCACAUAUGCAUGGUAUCUAACUAUUAAAAGCUUACGUCGGACUUGUUGACAUAAUUUCUAAGGGAAACGAGUUUGGAUACAUGUUGUAACGAAAAUUGGGCUUCAAUUACUUCAUAUCCUAUAGGCAUGAUAUCUAAUUGUAAAGUUGAUUUUUAAUCCUAUAGGCAUGUUAUCUAUUAUUAAAGUCAUUUGUAUCCUGUGGACAUGAUUUCUAAUUGUGUAAAAGUGAAGCAUGUCGAAUUUAUUUUUAAAAAUUAUAGAUCUUAUAGGCAUGUUAUCUAACAGACCAUAAUGAAGCAAAAUAAACCCUAUAGGCAUGUUAUCUACCAUUUAAUAGCUAAAACGUGCAUAUUCCCCAGCCAUUUUCACUAGUCACCACAUAACGUUCACAAGUUAUUGCAAACCGUGUGACUGAAUACAAAAGAAAGAAUGAAAGAAAACAAGAAGCCACAACCAUAGGAAGCCUGAUCUUGAAUUCCUAUCUAAGAUAUGCAAGGAACCAUAUCAAUGCCAAUGUUAUUCCAAAGCCUUUCUCAUAUCUGGGCGUGUCAAAGUUUCCUAAGGGCCUCAAGGGAUCCCGGUCAGUGCUUACACCUAGAUUUGUAUAUCCAAACAGAAUGAGUGUAGUAUGGAAGGGCCAGGCCUUAUGUGUCCAAGUUCAGAGGGAGCUCAAGAGUCCCAAGGCAAAGCUCACACAAGAGGGGCAAAACCUAGAUUCUAAGAGUAUAAUGGAAGUGCAAGACCCAUGUUUGAAAGAGAUUUAUUAAAACCGGGUUGGAAAUAGUAAGUGGUAAGGGUGAUUUGAAAAUAGUUGUAGUAGUGAAACUCAAACUGCACAGAGUCACUAAUCAUUUAAAGGAGCAAGGGACUAUGGGGAUGCAUUACAUAACCCUAGCAGGGAUCUGGUUUGUUAAUGUACAAUAAUAGUUGAUGCUGGCAUGGCCACAAACCAGCCAAAGGAACACAAAUACAUAGAAGGGAUAUAUGGGUUUGGGAUUCAUAAGAUAGCAAGUACACAACAAGUAACCUACAUAAUACACACAUAGGGAAACAUUAAUUUAAAAGGGGAAGGGAGAAUAUUACAGCCUGCUAGUAACAUAUGACUGCAGAAACAUAAGCAAAGGUAGAAAAGAAUAAGAAACUGAAGAAACGAAAGAGAGCAUGUUGUCAUUGAGGCUUAAAAAAUUAACUAGGACAUACCAGUAGGGAAGCAAAGUGUAGUAAGGGAAAGUAAGCAAGAUUCUGCAGUCUAGCAUUGGCUUUCAACCGGCUAGACAAAGAAAUAAAUAUAAAAAAAAAGAGAGUUUUUGAGUGUAAGUGUGUGUUCUGAACUUAAAUGGUUUGUGUCUUUAAAAGAAGAGAAAGUAGGGUAUUUAUAGUUUUGAAAACAAGAAGAAAUUAAGGUAAUAAGUAAAGUCUUAACACAAAUAUGGAAAAAUCACAAUCAGAAUCAAUUAACACAAGUACUUCCCUUUAAUGAAGGAAGUAUUGCUCAAACGGAUACUGACAAGGUUAAUUAAGGAAAGAAAUCAGUUUGAGACAGAUUGAUUUUUUCCAUAUAAGGGAGUAGUAAAAUAUAGGGUAUAUAAUUGAGUCUAGAUACAUAAUAUAUGCUUAAUUUUAGGAAAGGAUUCAAGGUAAAACAUCACAGUAAUGAAAUGAAGUGAAUCAAUCAAUUUAAACAGACAACUAAAAUUAGGGUUCAUAAGAAAACCUUUUUGCAAUCAAUCCCAACAUUGAGGGAGUCAGAAUCAAUCAAGAAAGGAUCAUGAUUCUGCACCUCAACAUAUAAAUAGAAUGAACAAUAGUAUCAGAUAUGCAAGGCCAAGCACAUUGGCAAAAGAAACAACAUAAGCAUACAGUAGUAGUAGGAAUAAGCUAGGAUUUAGUAGUAAAAAAGAUCUACCCAAAGCACAGUAGUUAACGAGGUCAGGUAGUUACAUGGAAUCAAAAGUGAAGAAAUCAUAGUAAUAGGUAAAGAGAGUCAGAAACAAGUAAAAGUCUCACAGUAACAAGUGAGGAAAACCUUUUAAGAAAUUAGGGCUUCAAUAAUAGUCGAGCUUAGGAGAUGAUAAAAACUGAGAAUCAGAUAAGUAAAACAAGGAAAAGAGAUCAAAACAAAGAACUUAAUCUUACGCAUAUACAUUCAAAUAGACAAGGACAGUUGCAGAACUCGGAUAUGACCAAAAAGACCUAGGGUUUUCAACAUGUUGAAUGAAGUAGAAUGAAAUCAUAAACAAGUUGUUGAACAUAGUAAAGUGAUAAAGCCCCACCAAGAAUCAGAGAAGAGUUCAUUAAAAGAAGUUAAGAGAAACCCUAAUCGUUAAAAGAAUGGAUAGUCAUUUUGAAAGAAAAUCGAAGAACUUUCGAGAAAACACUUAAAAAAUUCGUAAUAAGCAUAGAUCUGAAAGAAAAAUCAAACAGAUCUUACAUUUAGGGUUUCAAAGAACCCAGAGAAAUAGAAAAGGCUUUAUAAAUACCGAUAUGGUCGAAAAAGUCAUAGAUCUGACUUGAACAGCCAUGGAUAGCCGGAGAAAGAUCGGAGAUCGAAGUCGAGCAAGGAGUGGACCAGAUCUCAUCGAGAUUUGCCCAUGGAAUCUUGAAAACAUGUAUCCAAUAGACAUAGGAUACGUACACAUCUCAAAACGCCAUGGGAUACCAUGGAUUAGGUGGAGAUUAGGGUAAAUUAUGGUGGAAUUGCGUGGCGGCGGCUAGGGUUUAGAUGGUGUUGCAGAGAGAGUUUGAGAGGAAGAGAUUCAAUGGUGGAGGGUGGUGAGAAAUUAUUUAGGGUAAGAGGUCAUUUUGAGUUAAAAAUGGUAAGGGUAAACGGCGGUCGUUGAUCGGAAUGAUCAACAGCGUAGAUUAAAAGGAGUAGGUGGCGAUCCGAGUUUGGGUCGAUUUAAUUGAGUUAGGACCGGGUUUAACUAAAAUUUAGUUAGAGUUUAAUUGUGUCAGAUUUGGGGUUCAAUUUAGGCUAGACUUUUAACACAAAUGGGUUGUUAUUUAAAUAUCUAAUUUUCCUUUUUUAAAUUAUAAAAAAGAGUAAAUAAAUUUUUGAGAAUAAAUUGAAAGUCGUAAAACGAUUCACAUCACGUAAAUGUAAAUUUUAAAAAAUAGGGCUUAAUUAUAUGAAUAUAAAACACAAUUUAAUCAUAAAAAGGCUAUAUAGGCAAUUAGCUUUAAAAAAUACUAAGUAAAAUUGUAAAAAAUAUGUAAAAAUUACAUUAGAUAUAUUUUGGUAUCAAUAUAAAGAUCCAAUAAAUGAAUCAUCAAAAAUAAGAAUUUUGUACAUAAUUAUUAGAAAUUUAUGGAUGAAAAGGGGAAAUAAAUCGAUUUAAAAACCUUAAAAAAAUUAUGAAAAAUAAUAGAACAUUUGGAAAUACUUAUAUAUGCUAUUUUGAAGUAUUUUGCAUAUUAAAAAUAUAUAGGAAAAAAUUAAAUGUAAUAACAACCAUCUUCACAACAAUCGAUUCUCAUAGACGAGAGUCCUAACUUAGAAAUCAAUGUUUUAGCCUUGUAGAAAUCUUCAGGUGGGUCAACUAGUUCACUCAUAAGGCCAAUGAAAGAAUUCAUUCCCGCUUGAAAAAUAUUAAUGUCUGAUUUGAUACUUAAUAAUAUAACUGCAACAAACAACUGAGAGUGCAUACUCUCUUGUUCUAGCAGACGGCUAGCAGCCUCUAACUGUUAAUAAAAAUAUUUUGCCUCUUUGUUAGGAGGUUGUUCAACACUUUCAUGGGUUUCAAAAAUCGGAGUGCAUCCCCAAAACAUCAUCAACCAUUUCAUGGCCUCUAGGAUGUUGCGCUAUUAUCCACCGACCUACUACUUUCAUCAACAACUGCAUUAUGAAAUAUAUCAUCAGUAUCAUUAACCUCUACAUGACUAGUCCCCACAAAAUAACUAUCCAUAAACCCCUUUCAUAAAGAUAAGUCGUAACAUCCUCUGGACCAAAACAAAUGCGAACACUUGCGCUUCAUACAAGGACACAUAAUCAUCCCUCUAAUCUGAAACGAUUCAAGUGAAAUUGCAUACCUAAUAAAUUCCUUAACCCCUUCUAUAAGUUGCUCCCUCAAAAACAGAAAAUUAGGAUAAUUCUUAUUAUACAUCCAACUGCAAUAUUCCAUCAACGUAAAGAACAAAUAAAUUAUAUUAAUCAUAAUUCAAAAUUUAUAGAAUUAAGUUACACUAAUAUAACAAUAUUAUCCUGUAAAUUAAUAAACCCUAAUUUCUAAAAGCAAUAAAUGCUAAUAUAAUAAUACAUUAACCCUAAAAUAAUUUAUAAAUUUAUACACCACAAAUUAACUAGUUUAAAUACUGACUAAAAUAUUGAGCUAGUUAAGCCAUUCAUUUAGACUAACUCAUUCAGUUAUAAAUUGUUAGAUCUUCCAAUUAAUAUGGAAUAACUAGUUAAGCCUAAUUUUCUAAAGCCGAUAAAAACUAAUCGAACAAUAAAUUAAAUUCUAAAUUAAUAAAUUAUUUCUAAUAAAUUUUUGUAAAAUCAAUCAACAAAUAUAGAAAAAUAAAUUAAGCUCUAAAUUAGUAAACCUUAAAUUUCUAGAAGCAAUAAACAAAAAUAGAACAAUAAAUUAAACCUAAAGAAUUAGAGUAACUUAAAAAAAUUAGGCCACUAACCUUCACGUGGUACAAGUAGCGGCAGUUGAGCAGUGGUGAGAAGGGAGGGAGAUGGUGGAAAAUGCAGUAGCGGCGGAGGUAAGGCAGUGGAGGAGGCGGGCGGUUGUAUGUGGGGAAGCUGUGGGAUUAGGGAUUUAGGAGAAGAAAGUAAUGAGGAUGAUUUUGGAAUUUGAUUUUGGGGGACAAUGACAGUAAGAAUAGAUUUUGGGUGAAAUCGUUCUAAGCUUGAAGAGGGUGGAGGAGAGAGUGAAAUUUGAGAAAUGGAGGAGAAGAAGCUCAUUGAUGGGUCUAAUUGCUAGAU